UCAAAAAUUUUAGGGUCACAUUUCAGCGUGGGCACCAUGAACCAGCUACAAAACGGCACUCAAGGCAAAGGACCCUGGCAAAGGGCCUUGUCUACACUGACUUAGUUUCACCACUGGGCUGGCCUCAGACCUCACAGGGCACUGCCCACCUACCAAGUCUCCACUCUGUGCCCGUUUAAAAUGAUGCACUUAGGGAGUCCCUGUGGUGGCUCAGUGGUAACGAACCCGACUAGGAUCCAUGAGGAUGCAGGUUCGAUCCCUGGUCUCGCUCAGUGGGUUAAGGAUCCGGCAUUACAGUGAACUGUGGGGUAGGUCACAGACAAGGCUCAGAUCUCACGUCGCUGUGGUGGCGGAGUAGGCAAGUAGCUGUAGCUCGGAUUUGAACCCCAGACUGGGAAUCUCCAUAUGCUGAGGGUGCAGCCCUAAAAAGAAGAAAACUUGCUUUGUGUUAAUAAACGGUAUUUAUGCAGAUCUGCCAGAUAUUUGAAAGUGCUUAAUUUUACUGCAGUAAAUACUAAGAAUCCUUUUUAAAGCAUGGAAACCAAGCCCCAGGCAGGGAAAACACGAUUUGCCUUCAGAGCCUUUGACAAACUCACAUUGGCACUAGGAUUAGACCAUAGCUUGUUGGCCUUGAUUCCAUCUCCUACUGAGGCUGGCUGAAGGGGUCAGGAGCCCUGCUGUGGCCACAAGGCCAAAGCUGGACCUGAAAAUACUCUUGCAGAUGAAACUGGAACACACGACGUCCUACCCACAGAGUCAGCACGUCACAGCUGACUGCCAUCAAGGGAUGCGAGGGGGAAGGUUAUAUUCCUGGGAUACUGGUGGUCAGAACCGACUGCUCUCUGCCUUUCCUUCCUUCCUUCCUUCCUUCCUUCCUUCUUUCUUUCUUUCAGAUUUUUAUUUUCUCUCUGCCUUUCUUGGCUGUGUGACAGGUGCCCUGCAGUUACCUUCCUGUGGUUGUGAACGUGCCAUAGGAAGGCCUCAUCCAUCAAGAAAAAGCUGUAGGCAUCCAAGAGAAAGGGAGAAGGAAUCGUGAAUUGUAAACUACUUGAGUGCAGAGAACGCAGGGAGUGGUUUCUUCCUUUCGUCAUCAGAAGAAGGCCAGAUGUGCUGUAGACCCUCAGCCAGGGAUACAUUGUGAUAAGCUGAUAGAGAAACACUGAGAGGAAGUGUUCAGCAAAAUGAAAGCUGAAUUUCCAAGAUGGGUCUGAUUGUGUUCAGAUGAGAGCGGGGUUUGAAUGCAGCUUUCACCUGGAACCCUCAGCGUUAAGGUGCACAGGGCAUGCGUUAUUGCCUUAAUUCUCACAAUUCCCCUGGCAGCCUGGGAUGGUAGGAGCUGAUGUUCACCUCUGCGCUGACAGAAGGGCUUUAGGCAGUUGUGGCAAAAAACGGAGCCGAUGAGGGGCUGCGCUCAGCUCAGCUGGUUAAGUUUCCUGUUGGUGGCUCUUCCUCCCCAAGAUGCUUCAAGACUGCGUGCGAUAUCAAGUUGGACUUGUCUGUUCACACUUUCGCUGCGGUGCACGUGAUUUUGUCUGUUCUGUGAUUUUGUCUGUCUGCAGCCCCUGUCUGUUCAGAGCCUGAGCCUUUAAGACCUGGGGCUGCAUCUCAGCUCUGUGGGUCACGGGCUGUGUGAGUUGGGCGAGUCCUCCUCAGUCCAUCACAGCGUCAGAGGCCAUGUCCCAUGGGGAAGGACACCCUGGAUGCUCCCCUGCCCCCCGCCCCAGAGCCUGGCGAUAGGAGGCUUCCUGAGCAUCCUCUUCGUGCCACAGUCUGCCUUCCUGGCUGUCACAUCUGAUGUUGUCCUCUGCCCCCAGCAUCUCUGCUUGUGAUUGGUCACGAGCUCCUCAUCGAGAGGUGUGCUUUACCAGAAGCUCCAUCUCUGUGUGAGUGGUACAAAUGAGGAGAAUUUCUUGAGAACUCGUUCUUCCUUCACGUAAGCAUAGCCAGAGUUAAAAUCAGGCUUUGUAUUUCUGAGACAUACUGAAUGAAUAAAUAGGGAAGAAAUACUGGGCGUUUGUCACAAUUCUUAAGCUGUCCACUUAGAGAAGCAUAGCUCUGUAUUUACACACAGAUAAUUGGAAGAUUCAGUUACGGCUCGCUUUAGUGGCUGUCUGUGUCAUACGUAAUAAUUUUCACUUCAUGUUAACAGAUCACUCAGGGUUACUAUGAGAUUUGAUCAGAUAAUAGUUACAAAGACUUUUAAAUUCUGUAAAUGAAAAAAUCUGAUGAAACUGUAAAAGUGCUCCUUCUGUUCACUGAAACCAAUACGGUUGCUGUUGCAACAUUUCUUUCCUUUCCUUCUCUCUUUCCCUUCCUUCUCUCACUACUUCUCGCUUCUUCCCUUCCUUUCCCUCCUCUCCCCUCCUCUCCUUCCAUCCAUCCUGCGGGGUUUUUACAGGGAUAACACUGACACUAAUUCUGCCUUCAUGGAAUUUACAGACUAGCGGAAGAAACAGGCAGCUUUACAAGCACGCAAAGGUACUUGCAGGUUAUGAUGUGUUAU
Molecule: long non-coding RNA, 2503 nt
Filed under: Sus scrofa (pig)
Lineage: Eukaryota; Metazoa; Chordata; Mammalia; Artiodactyla; Suidae
Description: lncRNA (ENSSSCG00030036730.1)
Source: RNAcentral